CUGAGUUAGGGUCUUUAUGGCCCGACCUCCAACCCUUUGUUUAUUAUACCAUGUUGCUUUGGCGGGCCUGUCUUUCGAGGCUGCCGGGGGCACUACUGCCCCUGACUCGUGCCUGCCAGGAGCCUUCCUUAAAUUCUGUGUUAAACUUUGCUGUCUGAGUCCCAAUAUUAAAUUAUA
This 177-nucleotide unclassified non-coding RNA is filed under the name uncultured Chaetothyriales. Its description in RNAcentral is "sequence contains ITS1". The record is from RNAcentral. Lineage: Eukaryota; Fungi; Ascomycota; Eurotiomycetes; Chaetothyriales.